This 491-nucleotide long non-coding RNA is filed under the name Elaeis guineensis (African oil palm). Its description in RNAcentral is "long non-coding RNA (EGUI_LNC018058)". Lineage: Eukaryota; Viridiplantae; Streptophyta; Magnoliopsida; Arecales; Arecaceae. The record is from RNAcentral.
GAUUAAACCCAACACAAUUAGGCUUAAUUAGGCUCAAUAAAAUCCUAAUCAAAUCAGGAAUUAACUAAACCUAACCCCUGAUCAAAUCAGGGACUAAGCCACCUUAGCGAUUGGAUCAACACUUAACCUAAUCGGGUCAAUCCAAACUGAAUCCAAUUCAAUUGGACUUGAUCUAAAAAUAAUUAUUCAAUCAAAUUGAGUUAAUUAGCGAUCAAACUACUAAUUAAACCUCUCAUAAAUAUUGAGUCCAAAUUCGAUGGGCAAUUAGGCAUCAGAGACCAUCGAUAUGAAACUCUGAUCAAAGAGUUCAAAUUUCAAAUUUAAAAUUUGAAAUUUAAAAUUUUGACCCCGGUACCCAAAAUGUGUGGAACUCAUGAUCAGAGAAUCCUAAUUCUCAAUCAUAGAGUUUCAGACACAUAAGACUCAUAAUCAGCCAUCAGAUCAGAAAGGAACCUCUAAUGUGUGUGACCCCGCAGGUUCGAACUUAAGNN